This 748-nucleotide ribosomal RNA is filed under the name bacterium H11(2014). RNAcentral describes it as "bacterial SSU rRNA". It matches the Rfam family "Bacterial small subunit ribosomal RNA", at positions 23 to 739 of the family's 1533-position model. The record is from RNAcentral.
CCUAAAUCCCUCUGCCUGGCGGCGGCCUACCUGCAGUCGAGCGGAUGACGGGACUUGCUCCUUGAUUAGCGGCGGAGGGUGGUAUGCCUAGGUUCUGCCUGGUAGUGGGGGUCUCGUUCCGUAGUGGCGCUAAUACCGCAUACGUCUUACGGGAGUUGUGGGGGAUCUUCGGAGUUCACGCCACCAGUCGAUCUUAGGUCGAAUAGCUAGUUGGUGAGGUAUCGGCUCCUAAGGCGACGACUGUAACCGGUCUGAGAGGAUGAUCUGUCACACCGGUACCGAGUCACGGUCCAGUCUCCUACGGGAGGCAGCAGUGGGGAAAUAUUGGAAAAAUGGGCGAAAGCCCUGAACCAGCCCACGCCCGCGUGUGUGAAGAAUGGUCUUUCCGGAAUUGUAAAGCAAUUUUAAAGUUUGGGAGGAAUGGGCAAGUAAGUUAAUACCUUUGCUGUUUUUGACGUUACCCGACCAGAUAUAAGCACCCGGCUAACUCUGUGCCCAGCAGCCCGCGGUAAAUACAGAUGGGUGCAAGCGUUAAUCGGAAUUACUGGGCGUAAAGCGCGCGUAGGUGGUUCGUUAAGUUGGAUGUGAAUAGCUCUCGGGCUCAACUCUGGGAUCCUGCAUCUCAAAACUGGCGAGCUAGAGUAUGGUAAGAAGGGGUGGGUGGAAAUCUCCCUGUGUAGCGGUGAAAUUGCGUAGAAUAAUAGGGAAAGGAACCACCAGUGGCGAAAGCGACCAACCUGGACUGGAU